RNAcentral lists this long non-coding RNA (436 nucleotides) under Spirodela polyrhiza (greater duckweed). RNAcentral describes it as "long non-coding RNA (SPOL_LNC002460)". The record is from RNAcentral. Lineage: Eukaryota; Viridiplantae; Streptophyta; Magnoliopsida; Alismatales; Araceae.
UUCUUCUUCCUCUUCCUCCUCCGUCCUACCAGCUGGCGCGCAGGGGAGCGCAGAGAAGAGCGAAGAGGGGAAGGAAGCAUCGGGAACCCGCCGUCACCGAGCGAUCCAGGGGCCCCCUUUCGCCUCGGGAAAUCUCUUCUUCCGCCGCCUACAGGAUUGUCGCAAUGCACCGGCAGAAGCACCGGCGGUAGUGGUACAGGAUCUGCUCGUCUUCCUCUCGCUCAUUUGCCUUGGUGGGAGAGAUUCGUAUUCGGACGGCACAAUGCGGACCUCGGUGAUGGCGGAUCCGGUCAGUCGGAGAAGCCAUCCCCGAAGGAAGGACCAGGGGAUGAGUCGGAGUUGGUGCUGUUCCUUCGGGGUUGCUACGCAGAGCCCCGACAACCGCGUUGCUGGCGCCGUCCGCCCCUCCCAGAGGCCUCCGUCGAAGCCUCCGAAG